This 253-nucleotide ribosomal RNA is filed under the name uncultured bacterium. Its description in RNAcentral is "partial 16S ribosomal RNA". It matches the Rfam family "Bacterial small subunit ribosomal RNA", at positions 524 to 776 of the family's 1533-position model. The record is from RNAcentral.
UACGAAGGGGGCUAGCGUUGUUUGGAAUUACUGGGCGUAAAGCGCACGUAGGCGGAUACUUAAGUUAGGGGUGAAAUCCCAGGGCUCAACCCUGGAACUGCCUUUAAUACUGGGUAUCUUGAGUUCGAGAGAGGUGAGUGGAAUUCCGAGUGUAGAGGUGAAAUUCGUAGAUAUUCGGAGGAACACCAGUGGCGAAGGCGGCUCACUGGCUCGAUACUGACGCUGAGGUGCGAAAGCGUGGGGAGCAAACAGG